GGUCCCAUGACUCUCAUGAUGACAUUUAAAAGUAAAUCUGCAACACAAUAAAGUGCGCUGCUGCCCUGAGCAAACAAAAUCACAGGGAACAGUGCACGGGAAUAAGCAAGGAGGAGCAGAGCAGGUCAGCUGUUAUUACCUGGGUGAUGACGCAGCAGCUUCACAGACAACCCCCUGGGAUUCCGCAGUGGGCAUGUAAUGGAUUCUGGGAGAGAAGAAGAGGAUAUUACAGCUCAACAUAACCUGCUGACCUCCACAAGUGAAAACAUUCAUCCCACAGCAGCAACACAGUCAAGUAAAAAGACACCAUAUUUAAAAUCAGAGACCACAGAGUCUUUGACUUAGUUCAGUCUGCAUUGUAAAACAGAGAAGAUGGUUGUCUGCAGACCUUCAGUUGUGCAUACAUAUUGGGCUCUCAACAGUAGAGAUGACAAAUGAAGAUGUGGCGACACACCACAGCCCUGUACCAGGGACAACAUAUGGGGGACGAUGGAUACAGCAGUUUCACCACAGCCAGCCAAUAAAUGUUAAUUUAUAAAAACACAUUCCUUAUAUAACUCCUUCCUGGAAAUCACACACCAAAGU
Molecule: long non-coding RNA, 585 nt
Organism: Xiphias gladius (swordfish)
Lineage: Eukaryota; Metazoa; Chordata; Actinopteri; Istiophoriformes; Xiphiidae
Exons: 3
Source: RefSeq, a predicted model, not a curated record